CGCUGGCGGCAGGCCUAACACAUGCACGUCGAGCGGAUGAAGGGAGCUUGCUCCUGGAUUCAGCGGCGGACGGGUGAGUAAUGCCUAGGAAUCUGCCUGGUAGUGGGGGAUAACGUCCGGAAACGGGCGCUAAUACCGCAUACGUCCUGAGGGAGAAAGUGGGGGAUCUUCGGACCUCACGCUAUCAGAUGAGCCUAGGUCGGAUUAGCUAGUUGGUGGGGUAAAGGCCUACCAAGGCGACGAUCCGUAACUGGUCUGAGAGGAUGAUCAGUCACACUGGAACUGAGACACGGUCCAGACUCCUACGGGAGGCAGCAGUGGGGAAUAUUGGACAAUGGGCGAAAGCCUGAUCCAGCCAUGCCGCGUGUGUGAAGAAGGUCUUCGGAUUGUAAAGCACUUUAAGUUGGGAGGAAGGGCAGUAAGUUAAUACCUUGCUGUUUUGACGUUACCAACAGAAUAAGCACCGGCUAACUUCGUG
Molecule: ribosomal RNA, 478 nt
Filed under: uncultured bacterium
Lineage: Bacteria
Description: partial 16S ribosomal RNA
Rfam family: Bacterial small subunit ribosomal RNA
Source: RNAcentral